GAUGAACGCUGGUGGCGUGCCUAAUACAUGCAAGUCGAGCGAACGGACGAGAAGCUUGCUUUUCUGAUGUUAGCGGCGGACGGGUGAGUAACACGUGGAUAACCUACCUAUAAGACUGGGAUAACUUCGGGAAACCGGAGCUAAUACCGGAUAAUAUUUUGAACCGCAUGGUUCAAAAGUGAAACACGGUCUUGCUGUCACUUAUAGAUGGAUCCGCGCUGCAUUAGCUAGUUGGUAAGGUAACGGCUUACCAAGGCAACGAUGCAUAGCCGACCUGAGAGGGUGAUCGGCCACACUGGAACUGAGACACGGUCCAGACUCCUACGGGAGGCAGCAGUAGGGAAUCUUCCGCAAUGGGCGAAAGCCUGACGGAGCAACGCCGCGUGAGUGAUGAAGGUCUUCGGAUCGUAAAACUCUGUUAUUAGGGAAGAACAUAUGUGUAAGUAACUGUGCACAUCUUGACGGUACCUAAUCAGAAAGCCACGGCUAACUACGUG
This 497-nucleotide ribosomal RNA is filed under the name uncultured bacterium. Its description in RNAcentral is "partial 16S ribosomal RNA". It matches the Rfam family "Bacterial small subunit ribosomal RNA", at positions 28 to 507 of the family's 1533-position model. The record is from RNAcentral.